GUCAAAACUCGCACCUUUCUGGCCCAAAGAAGGUCGGCGGGCGAUCGACCCGCGUCCACAACGAACGUGUUCACUGCCCGCAAGGUGUGUCCAGAAUUUCCUGUGGUGAUGAACAAAUUGAUAGGCGGUCACAAAACAAGAAACCUGAAAGAACCCAACUUUAAAAAAAGACCAACACCCAAUGUGCAGAGAGCGAGAAGAAAAAUACAAAUCAUGCAAACAAUAAAAGCAAGCAACGGCAUUCAGAGCAAAAUGGAUUCCAUAGACCAGAAGCCUGGAACAGCCAAAGUAGACCCAUAGCUUCAGUCUCCGUUCAUCGCACAGUGAGGAAAAUUGCUGAAAAGCUCACAGGUAUGGAACCUGGAGCAGCCGGAGCAGUCUCACAACCUCAGCCAAAUAAGAAUAGUUUGCAUGCAUGUAAUGUUCUGAUGGCUGAAGAAGCUCGGCAUGACUCUCCAAAUCCACAGGACUUUCUACAGGGGCACAAUUGAGAGCAUCCUGACUGGCUGCAUCACUGUCUGGCAUGGGAACUGUACUUUCUUUGAUCGCAGGACUCUACAGAGAGUGGUGCGGACAGACCGGUGCAGCAGUGAUGUAAACUUCCCACUAUUCAGGCCAUCUACAGUGACAGGUGCGUAAAAAGGGCCUGAAGGAUCACUGGGGACCCGAGUAACCCCAACCACAAACUGUUCCAGCUGCUACCAUCUGGGAAACGGUACAAUUGCAUUAAAGCCAGGUCCAGUAGGCUCCAGGACAGCUUCUUCCACCAGGCCAUCAGACUGAUGAAUUCAUGCUGACACAAAAGUAUUUCUAUGUUGUAUUGACUGUCCUGUUGUGUAACUUACUGUACAUACUAUUUAUUACAAAUUACUAUAAUUUGCACAUUGCACUUUCAGAUGGAGACGCAAUGUAAAGAUUUUUACUCCUCAUGUAUGUGAAGGAUGUAAGAAAUAAAGUCAAUUCAAUUCAAUUCAAGCUCACCAAAAAUCUUCGCAAAGAACGAUAAUCAACUUUGGAUAUGAAGAUUUAGAAGGAACAGCUGCUAA
Molecule: long non-coding RNA, 1046 nt
Organism: Hypanus sabinus (Atlantic stingray)
Lineage: Eukaryota; Metazoa; Chordata; Chondrichthyes; Myliobatiformes; Dasyatidae
Exons: 3
Source: RefSeq, a predicted model, not a curated record